GGGGAUUUUAUCAUAGAAGUUUUGCGGAUCUGCCAGGACUCAGCAUGAGAUUCCUGCAGGCUUUGGCUUGGUUUUUUUUGUCUCAGGAAGGAAAUUGUAUCAAUUGCUGUAAUUCACAAGUCUUGGUGUGGGGCUCUUACAGGUUUGCAAAGCUUAAUAAAAAAACAUGGAUAUAAACAAGCACUCUGUGGUUUGUGUGGUUCCCCCAUUUCUCAGAGGCUCACGCAUCAGCAAGCAUUGCAUAUAGACAGAACCAAACCUUAGUGAGCAGAGAGCAGCAAGCAAGAACUAGAGGGAGUAAAAUGAGAGACUGCAAUAAUAGUAAUAUUCUGAAGGUGACUGUAAAUGAAGUGCAACACAUGAAUGUAUUCCCCCUGAGAAAUGCAAUGAACUAUUUUUCCAUCGAUUGCAGUAAGAUUUCAUCAUACAGUGAAAUCAUUCUUCUGAUUCUUUCCAGGUAAGAAGAUUGUUUGACUCUAAUUAGACCCCUACUUUUAUCCUCUUUUGAACUAUCAUCUCUCUUUUUUUUUUUUUCCUGACAUCAGUUUUAAUUGACAGUGUGUUUUUCCUGCUCUAUAACCUUACAUUCUCCUCCUUCUUAUUUAUUUAUUUACUUUGAAAGUAGAAUAAAGAAAUGAAGUAUUGUGGGAAAAUGUAUUCUAUACCAACUGCAUUUAGUAAAUGAGUUUGCA
Molecule: long non-coding RNA, 692 nt
Filed under: Gallus gallus (chicken)
Lineage: Eukaryota; Metazoa; Chordata; Aves; Galliformes; Phasianidae
Source: RNAcentral